AAAUGUUACAGCUCUUUUAGAAUUUAUCUAGCAGGUUUUCUGGUUACUAUAAGAGAAGGGGGAACCACC
This is a small nuclear RNA of Cercocebus atys (sooty mangabey), 69 nucleotides long. Its record names the gene U7. It matches the Rfam family "U7 small nuclear RNA". From Rfam's summary of the family: Animal histone pre-mRNAs are spliced by a different mechanism than nuclear pre-mRNAs and self-splicing introns. This processing involves the U7 snRNP, which contains only one RNA species: U7. NCBI's taxonomy places the organism in Eukaryota, Metazoa, Chordata, Mammalia, Primates, Cercopithecidae. The record is from Ensembl.